Molecule: ribosomal RNA, 497 nt
Filed under: uncultured bacterium
Lineage: Bacteria
Description: partial 16S ribosomal RNA
Rfam family: Bacterial small subunit ribosomal RNA
Source: RNAcentral
GAUGAACGCUGGCGGCGUGCCUAAUACAUGCAAGUCGAGCGAACAGAUAAGGAGCUUGCUCCUUUGACGUUAGCGGCGGACGGGUGAGUAACACGUGGAUAACCUACCUAUAAGACUGGGAUAACUUCGGGAAACCGGAGCUAAUACCGGAUAACAUAUUGAACCGCAUGGUUCAAUAGUGAAAGGCGGCUUUGCUGUCACUUAUAGAUGGAUCCGCGCCGUAUUAGCUAGUUGGUAAGGUAACGGCUUACCAAGGCAACGAUACGUAGCCGACCUGAGAGGGUGAUCGGCCACACUGGAACUGAGACACGGUCCAGACUCCUACGGGAGGCAGCAGUAGGGAAUCUUCCGCAAUGGGCGAAAGCCUGACGGAGCAACGCCGCGUGAGUGAUGAGGGUCUUCGGAUCGUAAAACUCUGUUAUCAGGGAAGAACAAAUGUGUAAGUAACUGUGCACAUCUUGACGGUACCUGAUCAGAAAGCCACGGCUAACUACGUG